Molecule: long non-coding RNA, 574 nt
Organism: Mastacembelus armatus (zig-zag eel)
Lineage: Eukaryota; Metazoa; Chordata; Actinopteri; Synbranchiformes; Mastacembelidae
Source: Ensembl
UGUAAAUGGCAUUGUAUCAGCAAAAGCUGUGACUGUGGUGGAACUGAGGAACAGGUCAGACACCGGCCGAGCCAACAGAUCACCUCAGACCACCAUCCUGCCGUCUGUGAGAGUUCCUUCAAACUGUCAGCGAGAUUUCAGCCUGUUGGCCUUUGACCCUGAUGGAGACCAGGUUACGUGCAGAUAUGGAAACACGUCACUGUCAGAGUGUAACCCCUGCACACCACCGUCUGUUCUCAGACUCUCAUCAUCUUGUACUCUGUCCUUCAGCCCCACUAUUAGCAGUCAAGAAGGUCCAUACGCUGUGCAGCUGGUGAUGGAAGACUUUCCCAGACAGACCAUCAACCUGACUCAGACCAACGGGCUGCAGACGUUGAAAACUACCAGUGACGCCAUCAGCAAAAUACCUAUCCAGUUUGUUUUAAGGGUGGAUCCUGUGGUGCCGUCCUGCACAGAGGGACUCUAUCUGCCCAAGUUCCUGCCUCCAACCCCAGACAACAGAGCUCGGCUGUACACCAGUGUCAAUCAGACAGUGGAAAUCAGGAUCAAAGCUGAGGCAAAUAUCUCCACGUAA